This 400-nucleotide ribosomal RNA is filed under the name uncultured bacterium. RNAcentral describes it as "bacterial SSU rRNA". It matches the Rfam family "Bacterial small subunit ribosomal RNA", at positions 149 to 563 of the family's 1533-position model. The record is from RNAcentral.
UUUGGAAACAGCUGCUAAUACCGGAUACGAGACGGAGAGGCAUCUCUACCGUCUGGAAAGUUUUUCGGUCUGGGAUGGACUCGCGGCCUAUCAGCUUGUUGGUGAGGUAAUGGCUCACCAAGGCGACGACGGGUAGCCGGCCUGAGAGGGCGACCGGCCACACUGGGACUGAGACACGGCCCAGACUCCUACGGGAGGCAGCAGUGGGGAAUAUUGCACAAUGGGCGAAAGCCUGAUGCAGCAACGCCGCGUGAGGGAUGACGGCCUUCGGGUUGUAAACCUCUUUCAGUAGGGAAGAAGCGAAAGUGACGGUACCUACAGAAGAAGCACCGGCUAACUACGUGCCAGCAGCCGCGGUAAUACGUAGGGUGCGAGCGUUGUCCGGAAUUAUUGGGCGUAA